This is a non-coding RNA of Heterocephalus glaber (naked mole-rat), 700 nucleotides long. NCBI's taxonomy places the organism in Eukaryota, Metazoa, Chordata, Mammalia, Rodentia, Bathyergidae. The record is from RefSeq and is a predicted model, not a curated record.
CUUAUGGUAGGGUCCGGGAAUUUAGCUCAGUGGUUUUGCCACCUGCUGAGCAAGUGCAAGGACCGGAGUUCGAUCCCCGGUACCAAAAAAAAAAAAGCUUAUGGUUUUUUCCUAAAUUUACACAGUCAGUUCGUGACAGAGGCAGGCAGUAGACUCCAUGGUUCUUAAUCUUCUUGGUGUUCCUUUGACUAAUUGCUGUCCUGAAGUUGUGACCUGAACCUUGAUGGCUGCUAAGUUGCCCUAAGAAUAGAAUUUCCUUCAUUUCAAUCCAACUGUACUUGGCUCCUUUUCCUGGCAUUGAUUCCUGGAACACAAUGAAAUUGGACCCUCUUCAAGGCAUCUGAGGUGGAGAACAGAACUUGACACAUUUGGGUUAGCAUUCAUCCAAGCUCUGGGACCCCAACGGGGUAAAGGACACCUCCUUACUGGUUCUGAGGAAGACCUGAAAACUGCUCACUGGUACAAGAAUAUGGAGUCCUUGCUGAAACCUCUGGGGCUGAAAUAUCAGAAAGACGAAGGAGGAUCAGAGCAUUCUUCAUUUGACUGGUCUGACUAUGGCAAGUGGAAGCAUCACUGGGCCCAGAAAUCAAUCCAAAGCUUCUAAGCAUGAGAUGACCCGAGGCAAGCAGCAGAAGGAAAGAGAAAGGCAAGCUCGGAUGUUUUCAGAGAAAGGACUGACUGUCCUUCUCUGGAGUUUGGG